UGGGCGUGGCAGCAGAGUCAAUUUUUAUAAGAGACUUUCAGAAGAUACAGUGUCUACACCAAGAGGCACAUGACACAACCUGGACUCUGGGCAAACCACCAGGUGCACCCACAUGAAGUGAGGGCUUAUUUGGCCUCCCCAGGACGGACUGGAGCAUCAGUAGUGCCUGAGUUCAUCAAAGGACAGAUGCUCAAGACACCUUGAUCACCAU
This 211-nucleotide long non-coding RNA is filed under the name Homo sapiens (human). RNAcentral's name for it is "HSALNT0405761". Lineage: Eukaryota; Metazoa; Chordata; Mammalia; Primates; Hominidae. The record is from RNAcentral.